Marmota monax (woodchuck) is the source of this 1459-nucleotide long non-coding RNA. RefSeq lists it as uncharacterized. The transcript has 4 exons. NCBI's taxonomy places the organism in Eukaryota, Metazoa, Chordata, Mammalia, Rodentia, Sciuridae. The record is from RefSeq and is a predicted model, not a curated record.
UUAGGAGAGGCAGGCGCUUUAUUGUUCUGCUGGAGACUUCGUGCCACUAUUGCAGACUUGUGCCAAGUUGCAGGUGGCCUCUAUAAAUUAUGUCAUUGGGCGUUAACGUUUGGGGUGUAACAUUUUCUUCUAUUGUUUGAACAUUCUUUUCACUCACCUGGAACAAUGUGGCUAAGUCUUCAAGAAAAAAUCCUCCCAUGCUCACCUGUUGUAUUUUUAUGCUGUUGUGGGUUUUUUGUUGUUAUUUGUGGUGCUGGGGAUGAAACACAGGGACUCAUGCAUGCUGGGCAAGUGCUGUGCCAAUGAGCUACACCCCCGAACCUUUCUUCUGUUACUCUCAAAAGAAGUUAAUCUCUGCAUUUUUACCAUAUUAGAUAAAUAUCAUGUAAUUGUCAAUUAUUUAUUUCAUCAUAUUAAGAGAAUACUACAUGGGUUGUCAAUGAUAUCCAAUAUCAUGAACUCAAUACUAUCCUCCUCAAUUUACAAGAAGGAAACAACAAACGUUAAGACAUGGUGUCUGCCUUAAAUGCAUGAAGAAACUAAGUCAACUCGAGAAUAAUAUGGCCUAUAACUCACAUCAGUCCCAUGGCUGCAACUGAAGACCAAGGAGGACUCAGUGUGGAACUGCGUGGACUAAGGUCAAGGAAGAAGUCACCAAAGAGAAAAGACUGCAGAGAGAUCUUGGACCUAAGGACAAAACCAGAUAAGAAUCAGUACAAAGGCACCAAGACUUUUGCACAACUGGAUAAAGGAAAGAAAGGAAAUUCCAGCUAUAUGCAGUGUAACUGGUUACCUUUACAGUAUAAAUAAAAUCUCUAAAAGGGCCUGAUAUUUGGAUGAUGGUAAGAGUUAUAGAACAUUGCACUAGGAGCUCAAAACAUCCUGAGCACAAAAGUAUACAAAUAUUCCCCAGAUGAUCAGAUUGCAGAGGGGUCCUUGGAGGAUCCCAAGAAUGAUGGGAAUCAAAUCUGAAGACAGCACAGGAGAAGAGGAAGGAAGCAUCAGAAAGUUUUCCUUCUAUCUAAAGACACUAGGGCAGGGUGGUUUCUACAGAGCUUCUCUUACUGGUGCCUUAGGAGCUGUGGUGCAUGCCUUUUAUUUAUUUAUUUUUUUGUCCAACUAUAUUCUCCACUCAUCGUCAUCUACUUAGUACCCCAGGAGGCUGACCCAUGGCUGCAUAAAUGGGUUAUCUUGCCCUAUGUCUUUCAUUUCGUUCCUUCAGUGGGAUGAGGAAUAAGCAUCAAGAGGUCAGAACCAAAAAGAAGGUGAGUCUGGAAGAAGAUCACUUCUCGGAUCACGCUCAACUAGAUACUCAUGGUGGCUGUCUCUCUUACAAAAGGGUAUAUGUCAUAUAGCUGCACACGCUUUCUUUAGUUCUGGGCACCAGAAACUUCCAUUGUCAAGCUACUUUAGACCAUGACAGGAAGGGAGUCAUUCCAUAUUUGUUUCCCUAUAUUUG